Molecule: ribosomal RNA, 482 nt
Filed under: uncultured bacterium
Lineage: Bacteria
Description: partial 16S ribosomal RNA
Rfam family: Bacterial small subunit ribosomal RNA
Source: RNAcentral
AUUGAACGCUGGCGGCAUGCCUUACACAUGCAAGUCGAACGGCAGCGCGGGAGCAAUCCUGGCGGCGAGUGGCGAACGGGUGAGUAAUACAUCGGAACGUGCCCAAUCGUGGGGGAUAACGCAGCGAAAGCUGUGCUAAUACCGCAUACGAUCUACGGAUGAAAGCAGGGGAUCGCAAGACCUUGCGCGAAUGGAGCGGCCGAUGGCAGAUUAGGUAGUUGGUGAGGUAAAGGCUCACCAAGCCUUCGAUCUGUAGCUGGUCUGAGAGGACGACCAGCCACACUGGGACUGAGACACGGCCCAGACUCCUACGGGAGGCAGCAGUGGGGAAUUUUGGACAAUGGGCGAAAGCCUGAUCCAGCCAUGCCGCGUGCAGGAUGAAGGCCUUCGGGUUGUAAACUGCUUUUGUACGGAACGAAACGGUCUUUUCUAAUAAAGAAGGCUAAUGACGGGACCGUAAGAAUAAGCACCGGCUAACUACG